RNAcentral lists this ribosomal RNA (427 nucleotides) under uncultured bacterium. Its description in RNAcentral is "bacterial SSU rRNA". It matches the Rfam family "Bacterial small subunit ribosomal RNA", at positions 355 to 775 of the family's 1533-position model. The record is from RNAcentral.
UGGGGAAUAUUGGACAAUGGGCGAAAGCCUGAUCCAGCCAUGCCGCGUGAGUGAUGAAGGUCUUCGGAUCGUAAAGCUCUGUGGGAAGGGACGAAAAAGUCAGACCCAAUACGUCUGACCUUGACGGUACCUUCUUAGCAAGCACCGGCUAACUCCGUGCCAGCAGCCGCGGUAAUACGGAGGGUGCAAACGUUGCUCGGAAUUAUUGGGCGUAAAGCGCACGUAGGCGGUUCGGUAAGUCGGAUGUGAAAUCCCUCGGCUCAACCGAGGAAGGGCAUCCGAAACUGCCGGGCUUGAGUACGGAAGAGGGUCUCGGAAUUCCCGGUGUAGAGGUGAAAUUCGUAGAUAUCGGGAGGAACACCAGUGGCGAAGGCGGAGACCUGGGCCGAUACUGACGCUGAGGUGCGAAAGCGUGGGGAGCAAACAG